This is a non-coding RNA of Callithrix jacchus (white-tufted-ear marmoset), 1840 nucleotides long. Lineage: Eukaryota; Metazoa; Chordata; Mammalia; Primates; Cebidae. The record is from RefSeq and is a predicted model, not a curated record.
GACGGAAAUGAAUGACUGGAUCCCAAGUAGUCUCACAAAAAGUGGCAAUUCUUACACUGAGUACUGAAUGAGGAGUAACAGAUGAACAAAAAAGCAUGAGGAGGAGAUGCUUGAGGAGGAGAUUAAUUUAGGUAGAAGAAAUAUGUUCAAAGGCACAGAGUUCUGAAAAUGUUUGCUCAGUUCACCAGGGUUGUAAAAACAUUUGGUAUGCUGAGCAAAAGGGACACAUGUGACAAAGUUCCGGGGGGUGAAAUUAGAUGGUAAAGUCUUCUGUGUUAAGUGUUAAGAACUUACCUGAGAUUCAGGGUGAUACAAGAGCUCCUGGUUCCCCCAACUUCCUCUGUGUUGUAAUACAACAGUCAGGUUAGACAGGGCCAGGAAGGAGCAUCUGAAGUCAAAGUUGAUGCCAUAAUCACAAGUGCUUAGCUGCAUUCUCUUUGGUUCCAGAGGAAAUCCAACAGACCUAAUGACAGAGGAAAGAGCUUGUGCCUCCUCAAGAGCUGAGCAAAAACAAGGAUUUUAGCAUUGCUUGGGGAGGAGGAAGAUUUUGGCCAGCAGAAGCAUAGACCCUCAGAGAACUCCUGUCCCAUUGACCUGUGUGGCACUGAGAGGGCUUGUUCCAUCUUGUGACUCUAGAGCAGCACUACAGCAGUUCGUAGAACUUCCGUAGUUGAGAAGUUUUCUAAUCAAUCCUGAAAAGUCUUCUCAAACCUCAGCUGACUGUCCUCUGCCCACAAAGACAGAAACAGCCUUGCCUUGCACAGCUUAUCACUCAUUUCCGCUUGAGAGAGCCUAAUGGCAAGGGUGAUGUAGGUGCUGAGAAAACAUAUACCCUAAUUAGAACUAACUUAAGUGGUUAGUUAUAUUUUGGUUCUCAAAACAACCAAAGGGUGAAGAUCAAACUGAAUCUAAGGGUGACUACACUUGAACGAAAAAUGAUGGCCUCAGGUAGCUGAGAAGUUGAAAAAAGUGAUGUGCAAAUUUUACCUUAAUAAGUGUGACUAAAAAAAUAAGAAUUCUCAAAGAGAAAUCAGCUAGUGAAUAUCAACAAAAGAUAUACAACUUUCCAAUGUAAAGUAUCAAUAAAAAGCUGAAAAGGUAUGCCUAAUAUUCUGAAAAGCAAAAUGCUACUAUCAUUGUGGCCAGAGAAAUGCAGUCUCUAAUUAGGCCAGAGGAAGUUCCUAUCCCUCAUGGCAGAUAACGUUGAUGUAUAGGAACCAAUGGCCCAAGAUUGGGACGGGGAUGAUUCUCCAAGGUACCAGAAGAAGAAAGAAAAGAUGUGGGCACAGGUUAAAAGAAGAAAAAAAUAGACUAAUGGGAUUACAUCGAACUAAAAAGCUUCUACACAGCGAAGGAAACAAUCAACAGAAUGAAGUGACAACCUACAGACUGGAAUAAAAUAUCCGCAAACCAUACAUCUAAUAUGAGGUUAAUACUCAAAACAUGUAAGGAACUCAACUCAAGAGCAAGAAAAACCCUGGGGCUUCCCUGUUGACACCUGCUCUGGGAUUCUGUUAAUGUCCAGACUCAUACAUGCCAACUCAGAGGAGCACCCAAAGAAUAAAACUUUAACCAAGAAGAGAGUGAGCUAGAGAAUAAAUGUUUACACUUCCCCCCUCUCCCUGUCACUGAAAAUGGUCUAGAAGUGACACUGAUAGCUUUGGGGGGGGUCAUGGUCCCAAUGAAAUAGCAGUUAGUCACUCUUGGCAGUAGUCAGCUCUGUGACAAGCAUCCUCUCAUCUCUCCGUUCUGAUUCCUAGCUCCUGCCCUCUUGAUUUACACUCCCUAAUGAUAUAUGGUAGCAGCACAUAAAUCCUGACUCAGUCACUAAUUGCGGGGU